AAGAAGAAUUGUUAGGGCUGCUAACCGUGACUUGGGUGUUCAUCCUCUUCUUU
Molecule: transfer RNA, 53 nt
Filed under: Laeocathaica amdoana
Lineage: Eukaryota; Metazoa; Mollusca; Gastropoda; Stylommatophora; Camaenidae
Description: tRNA-Ser
Source: RNAcentral